This 253-nucleotide ribosomal RNA is filed under the name uncultured bacterium. Its description in RNAcentral is "partial 16S ribosomal RNA". It matches the Rfam family "Bacterial small subunit ribosomal RNA", at positions 524 to 776 of the family's 1533-position model. The record is from RNAcentral.
UACGGAGGGUGCGAGCGUUAAUCGGAAUAACUGGGCGUAAAGGGCACGCAGGCGGGUUUUUAAGUGAGAUGUGAAAUCCCCGGGCUUAACCUGGGAACAGCAUUUCAGACUGGGAGUCUAGAGUACUUUAGGGAGGGAGAGAAUUCCACGUGUAGCGGUGAAAUGCGUAGAGAUGUGGAGGAAUACCGAAGGCGAAGGCAGCCCCCUGGGAAUGUACUGACGCUCAUGUGCGAAAGCGUGGGGAGCGAACAGG